CAGGAUACCAAGAGAGCUGGAGAGGGCUAUACAAUACAUUGGGCAGGAUAUAUAGGGGGAGGGCUAUACAAUACACUGGGCAGGAUAUAUAGGGGGAGGGCUAUACAACACACUGGGCAGGAUAUAUAGGGGGAGGCCUAUCCAACACACUGGGAAGGAUAUAUAGGGGGAGGGCUAUCCAACACACUGGGCAGGAUAUAUAGGGGGAGGGCUAUACAACACACUGGGCAGGAUAUAUAGGGGGAGGGCUAUACAAUACACUGGGCAGGAUAUAUAGGAGGAGGGCUAUACAAUACACUGGGCAGGAUAUAUAGGAGGAGGGCUAUACAAUACACUGGGCAGGAUAUAUAGGAGGAGGGCUAUACAAUACACUGGGCAGGAUAUAUAGGAGGAGGGCUAUACAAUACACUGGGCAGGAUAUAUAGGAGGAGGGCUAUACAAUACACUGGGCAGGAUAUAUAGGAGGAGGGCUAUACAAUACACUGGGCAGGAUAUAUAGGAGGAGGGCUAUACAAUACACUGGGCAGGAUAUAUAGGAGGAGGGCUAUACAAUACACUGGGCAGGAUAUAUAGGAGGAGGGCUAUACAAUACACUGGGCAGGAUAUAUAGGAGGAGGGCUAUACAAUACACUGGGCAGGAUAUAUAGGAGGAGGGCUAUACAAUACACUGGGCAGGAUAUAUAGGAGGAGGGCUAUACAAUACACUGGGCAGGAUAUAUAGGAGGAGGGCUAUACAAUACACUGGGCAGGAUAUAUAGGAGGAGGGCUAUACAAUACACUGGGCAGGAUAUAUAGGAGGAGGGCUAUACAAUACACUGGGCAGGAUAUAUAGGAGGAGGGCUAUACAAUACACUGGGCAGGAUAUAUAGGAGGAGGGCUAUACAAUACACUGGGCAGGAUAUAUAGGAGGAGGGCUAUACAAUACACUGGGCAGGAUAUAUAGGAGGAGGGCUAUACAAUACACUAGGCAGGAUAUAUAGGAGGAGGGCUAUACAAUACACUAGGCAGGAUAUAUAGGAGGAGGGCUA
This is a long non-coding RNA of Mizuhopecten yessoensis (Yesso scallop), 1028 nucleotides long. RefSeq lists it as uncharacterized. The record is from RefSeq and is a predicted model, not a curated record. The transcript has 2 exons. NCBI's taxonomy places the organism in Eukaryota, Metazoa, Mollusca, Bivalvia, Pectinida, Pectinidae.